UACGGAGGGUGCAAGCGUUAUCCGGAUUCACUGGGCGUAAAGGGUGCGCAGGCGGCCAAGUGUGCGAGGCGUGAAAGCCCGGAGCUUAACUCCGGAAUUGCACCUCAAACUACAUGGCUAGAGCAUUGGAGAGGGUAGCGGAAUUCACGGUGUAGCAGUGAAAUGCGUAGAUAUCGUGAGGAACACCAGAGGCGAAGGCGGCUACCUGGACAAUUGCUGACGCUCAGGCACGAAAGCGUGGGGAGCAAAAGGG
Molecule: ribosomal RNA, 253 nt
Filed under: uncultured prokaryote
Description: partial 16S ribosomal RNA
Rfam family: Bacterial small subunit ribosomal RNA
Source: RNAcentral